Molecule: ribosomal RNA, 373 nt
Filed under: uncultured organism
Description: partial 16S ribosomal RNA
Rfam family: Bacterial small subunit ribosomal RNA
Source: RNAcentral
GUAGGUGGCAAGCGUUGUCCGGAAUUAUUGGGCGUAAAGCGCGCGCAGGCGGUUCUUUAAGUCUGAUGUGAAAGCCCACGGCUCAACCGCGGAGGGUCAUUGGAAACUGGAGAACUUGAGUACAGAAGAGGAAAGCGGAAUUCCACGUGUAGCGGUGAAAUGCGUAGAGAUGUGGAGGAACACCAGUGGCGAAGGCGGCUUUCUGGUCUGUAACUGACGCUGAGGCGCGAAAGCGUGGGGAGCAAACAGGGAUUAGAUACCCUGGUAGUCCACGCCGUAAACGAUGAGUGCUAAGUGUUAGGGGGUUUCCGCCCCCUUAGUGCUGCAGCUAACGCAUUAAGCACUCCGCCUGGGGAGUACGGCCGCAAGGCUG